Long non-coding RNA from Salvelinus fontinalis (brook trout), 8136 nucleotides. RefSeq lists it as uncharacterized. Lineage: Eukaryota; Metazoa; Chordata; Actinopteri; Salmoniformes; Salmonidae. The transcript has 4 exons. The record is from RefSeq and is a predicted model, not a curated record.
GCUGAACCGCGGUGCACCGGACUAUGGCUGGUGAAGUGAAUGGGCAAAAGCGUUUUAUAUAUAAAGCAUAUGUUUGAAUUUUCAAACUACUUUUUAUUGGGAAGGCAGAUAAAACGUUUCAAGUUUGGAUGUAAAAAACCCAGAAUCCUACUCAUUACUCCACGCGCUUAACCCAUUGUAUGUCACUUUUGCUUUGUCAGCCAAAACGGGUCACCUGGCUCAAGGCCGGAAUUCCACAAUCAAAGCUAACCCGGGUUCAUGCGAGGCAGGCCCGAGGCAUUAAUCUAAUCCCCUCAGUGUGUGGGCUACUCCAUUUUACACAACCAAGUAGUUAUCAUAUAACAGAAAAGAUGUUGACCUCAGAGAAGCUCACCACCAUGACGACUAACUAUAAAGCACAACAACAUUCUCAUGGCAAACCCUUUAUCCUGCAAUUAAUCAAUUAAUCAAUCUGACCAACUGAAAUGAUUAUUUGGACUUGUAGUGAGCCCUAUUUUUUUAACACAAAUAUUACGCAUUCCCCAAGCUGCAGAAGUUUAAUCUUUAUUGAAAUGUGUGUCUUAGUGGUUAGAGGUCAACAAUGAGAAAACUCAGUGGAACUGGCUUUGAGGUGCAGAGUUGAGUUUGAGGACUAUAGAGUAUGGACUAAUUGAUCAAUUGUGAGGAAUAUGAUUUUGUGAUUAAAAUCAUUCGUAUGCCAUAUUUGUUCACUAACAUUUUGGCUAAGUUUUCAAACAGGUAGAGUAAGAGAAACCCAGUGUGUGGAAUUCAAACUCUCCAUUUCUCUUGCGAGAUGUUACAUUUUACGUUUAUGUUUACACUGAACAAAAAUAUAAAACGCAAAGUGUUGGUUCCAUGUUUUAUGAGCUGAAAUAAAAGAUCCCCGAAAUUUUCCAGACGCACAAAAAUAGUAUUUCUCUCAAAGUCUGUGCACAAACAUGUUUACAUCCCUGUUAGUGAGCAUUUCUCCUUUGCCAAGAUAAUCCAUCCACCUGACAGGUGUGGCAUUUUAAGAAGCUGACUAAACAGCAUGAUCAUUACACAGGCACACCUUGAGCUGGGGACAAUAAAAGGCCACUCUAAAAUGUGCAGUUUUGUCAAACAGCACAAUUCCACAGACGUCUCAAGUUGAGGGAGCGUGCAAUUGGCAUGCUGACUGCAGGAAAGUCUCUACUAUAAACUGCCUCCACUGUCGUUUUAGAGAAUUUGGCAGUACCUCCAACUGGCCUCACAACCACAGACAACGUGUAACCACGCCAGCCAAGGACAUUCACAUCUGGCUUCUUCACCUGCGGGAUCGUCUCAAACCAGCCACCCGGACAACUGAUGAAACUGAGAAGUAUUUCUGUCUGUAAUAAAGCCCUUUUGACGGGGAAAACUCAUUGGCUGGGACUAGCUCCCCAGUGGCUGGGCCUAUGCCCUCUCAGGCCCACCCAUGGCUGUGCCCCUGCCCAGUCAUGUGAAAUCCAUAGAUUAGGGCCUAAUUUAUUUAUUUCAAUUGACUGAUUUCUCUCCAUUUCAAUUGACUGAAUGUGUUGAAAUUGUUGCAUGUUGGGUUUAUAUUUUUGUUCAGUAUAAGUAAUUUAGCAGACACUCUUAUUCAGAGAAACUUACAGGAUGAGCAGUAGGUGGCUUGACUCUCAUGCAUACACAGUAAAAAACUGGAGAGUAUUUUUUCCGGAGUUAAAAAUAUUUUCCCAUCAAGUAGUCAAACUAAAUCAUUUUAGAGUGUAAUUAUUACCAGCGGCCGAUAGAAUGGGAGCAAAAAUACAUAAUAAAUGAUAUUGGAGUAAAACAGCAUGACUACGCCCACUAAUGUUGGUUAAAUUUAGAUUUUGCCGCAUUUGCAAGUGUCUCGCGAAUGGAAAGAGUGGACAGAGCGAGAGCGAGGAUCCGCCGAACAUCAGAAGUCAUUCACAGAACCACAGAAUUUCUUAAUUUCUAAACUUAAUUAGAAUUCCAGGCAAGUUCACUGUUAUUGGUUAACUUUGUGUGCAAAUUAAAACUGUUGAGCAACAUUACAGCUAGUUAGCAUUGUAGUGUAGGCUUACUGUUAUUGCACGAUUUGAAUAGUCAGAUGCUAAUGUGAGCAUCGAGCUAGAGCUAAUUAGCUAGCUAGCUACAGUAACAUUAAGGUAUACCACUUUUAGUGGUUUAUGGACAGUAUGCACACCCAGUGGAUCAGUGCAUCGCCUGUUUUACAUUUUCAACAGAGCUGUAUUAGCUAUUAUCAGUAGCUAGCGGACUAGUUAGUCAGUGCAACAUGUGUUUUACUCUGAAAAGCGAGCUGUUAGCAGACAGUUAGCGGCAGUUGGUCUGUGCUACACGUGUGUUUCACUCAAGUUUAGAGCUAUUAGACAGUUUUUAGCUGCAGUUUGGUCGGUGCGACAGGUGCAUUUUACUCUGAACUUUAGAGCUGUUACCGGUUGACGGUUUUAGAGCAGUUUGGUUUUUGCGACAGGUGCAUUUUACUCUGAACUUUAGAGCUGUUACCGGUUGACGGUUUUAGAGCAGUUGGGUUUUUGCGACAGGUGCGUUUUACUCUGAACUUUAGAGCUGUUACCGGUUGACGGUUUUAGAGCAGUUUGGUCGGUGUGACACGUGCGUUUUACUCUGAACUUUAGAGCUGUUACCGGUUGACGGUUUUAGAGCAGUUUGGUCGGUGUGACACGUGCGUUUUACUGUGAACUUUAGAGCUGUUACCGGUUGACGGUUUUAGAGCAGUUUGGUCGGUGUGACACGUGCGUUUUACUCUGAACUUUAGAGCUGUUACCGGUUGACGGUUUUAGAGCAGUUUGGUCGGUGUGACACGUGCGUUUUACUCUGAACUUUAGAGCUGUUACCGGUUGACGGUUUUAGAGCAGUUUGGUCGGUGCGACAGGUGCGUUUUACUCUGAACUUUAGAGCUGUUACCGGUUGACGGUUUUAGCUGCUGUUUGGUCGGUGUGACACGUGCGUUUUACUCUGAACUUUAGAGCUGUUACCGGGUUGACGGUUUUAGCUGCUGUUUGGUCGGUAAGACACCUGCGUUUUACUCUGAAAAGAGAGCUGUUAGUUGACAGUAUUUAGCGGCAGGCAGGUCCAUGCAACACAUGUGUUUUACUCUAAACAGAGCACUGCUCUCUUGUAAUUUGUGCAUAUUUGUGUUAAUGCAAUUGAAAUAAACUUUUUUAUUUUGUUAUGAGGGGCAACUGACUUUCAAAUCCUUUUUCGAUUGUGGUUAGUGAAAAGUUUCAAAUUUCACACAAUAUCCUAUGGAACAACAGACUUAUACUGAAGUGUUAGUGUGAUCCUUUUUUAAAUUACCCCCCGACUUAGACGAUUGAAGAUAUUCUGAAGAACAGACCUGGAGGAGAGAGGAUCGUGAAUGAGUAUGCUCGGGCCAAAAAGCCUAACAGAUAGCAGAAGACGUGAUAUGGUCAAGAUAUUGGUUGCACAAAUGACAAGUGAACAUGGGUAUAUGUCAUAUACUCAUUACAUACCUUACCACCUAACACAGUUUUUAGCAGAAGUUGUGAUUUACACAUCAAUAUUUUUGUUUGGAUCUCAAACAGUAAAGUGUGUGUGUGUCUAGGACAUGUCCUUCAAGGCGUGUUAAAGAGGACUACGCAAAGUGCAUCAUUGCCUUGUUCCCAUACCUGGCCGAUCCCAGGAGCAGCUUAUGUAAGUACAUUAAAAACAAAGUCUAACCUUUUUAACACUCUGGGACUCUUUCACCUUCAUUUUUUUUCAGAAUGUCAAUAUUUAAAUUGUUGUUUUGCUGUUGGGUGAUGUUUUUAUUUAAACUAAAGAUCUGUUAACAUGUCUGUAUGCCCACCAUCUCUGCCGUCUCUCCUAAGCUCAACUCUGGUGGUAUAAAAGCCCAGUUAAGAUCUGCACUGCGAGAGUCAGACCUGUUGAAUGAGCAAUUCUUCAUCUAUGAGCGCAUCUGUAGUUUUAAGGAUAAAAAUGAAUAUGAAGAUAUUUUAACCUGCUCACUCAAACUGAAUUCUACUUUACUUUAGGAGCAGUAUUACAAUGCAGAAGAUGGGAGUGGAUAUCUAGCAUGGAGACUGAAAUUUGUUCAAAGGGAAGCUUCAGAGGGACGACAGAAGACCAUGCAUCAGUCACUGACGUGUAGUUAGUCUCAUGACCAGAAAAUAAUUGUAUGUAAACAUCUGUAUAAGCAAGUGUUUCUUAGAAAUACUGAAAGAGUAAGAUACUUAGUAUUAAUUCUGUUUCUGAGUCAAAAAAAUCCUACUUUUCAUCUGGUGACAUAACUGCAUGCAUGGCCAUCCUUGCAGAGUUUCUGAGCCUUGUUUUUUAUCUCUUAUGACACAAUAUUGUAUACUUGUAUAGAGCAGACAAACCCAGUACUCUGUCAAAGUUUCACCAUGUUACAGGUGGUCCAAAAGCUGAUAGACCCCUUCAGAGAGGAAAACUGUCCAACAACAGAAAGCCUGUGUUGUGAGGCCAUUGCACUGAUGAAGCAUACAGCUGAUGAAGCAAUUGUAAAGGAGAAGAUGAAGCAGACCUUCGCCUGUCACCAAAAGAUGGUUCAUGACCCAGUGAAGUCCUCUGAAAUAUUCACAGCGUUUCCAAGAUUCCAAGACAUAGCAGGAAUGAUUGAGCAAGAUGUUAGUCUGUUGUUUGGUGAUGCAACCUCUGCAAAGUUCCUGGAGAAGUGGUUUACUCUCUACAGGCAGGAAGUAAUUGACCAAAGCAGUGGCCUCAUACAGACAGGCGACCUGCAAGACCUGGUUCAAAAUGCUGGAUCCACAACAUAAGUGGAAAAUGGAUGGGACAGUGACAUGUCAUCCAUUUUGGUCCUUGUCCACCUUCUGCCACCAUCACCUCAUGGCCGCAAGAGACCAGGAAAAAUCUCAGCCAGACACACCAGUGACCACAUUGUGAAGUUUAUCAAGACUGGGACCAGCAUCCAGGGGCAUCUGGAGAGCAUCAUGAAAAGCCUUCAACCCUAUCUGCUUGCUGUGGGGACCCAGAGGAGUGGGAUUCACAAGUACUUCAUUGUAAUUGACAAACAUGUAAUACCGUGUAAGUCACCAGACUCUCUUGCCUGUUUUGAUGAGCUUUUCAAAGCUCAUUUUGUCUUCGGUACCUCGUACAAAGCAUCUUUAUAAAGCACACGAACCUUGUUCUGAUCAUGGUGAAGGCCCCUCUACAGCUGAAUAUGGAGCAGUAAGUCAUUUUGAUGACUUGCCAUCAACAAGUUCCCCUUCUGACUCAGUCCUUGUCGAUAAGAGUCUUGUAGACAGCUGCGCUGCAACCAUAGCUGAACUUAAAGUGGCAGGUGUAGGUGAAACAACCAUUAACUCUUUGGUCAUUUCCAUGGAAGAGAUAGUUGAUGAUAUUCAUAUUCAAGCUAAAGAAUCUGUGAAGAAGUGUCUGUCUAUACAGGAGCCUAUUAAAAGUGACAUUGAGUGUAAUAUUGAUGUGUUUUGAAAAAAUGUCAAAUCCUUUUGGUGUAUUAAAUUCUGAAAGUAAGAGAAGGCAGUAUUUUACAGAAAUGUGGGGAAGGGUAGACCCAGUUGAAUACGUUCUUGGUACAAGAUUUGAUACACAACGCAAUCGGACUACUGGAGGCUAUGAUGAAAUUGUUGUUACUGAUAAAUUUGUUUACAUCCUAAUUUUGAAAACAUGACAGUUUAUUUACAAACACCCUGAUAUAAAGGAGAUGAUGCAGACUGAUUCCAGUUCAAGAAACCUUUAUGACCGAUGUGAUGGAGAUCUGUUCCAGAGCCAUGCUCUAUUUUCAAAACAGAACCAAUUCAGAUACAGCUUCUCUAUGAUUUUGAAACUGCAAAUCCUCUUGGAUCAUAACGGGGAAUACAUACAUUAGGAGCAAUCUAUUUCAAUUUAUGGAAUUUUUCUCCAAAAUUCAACUCAUUUCUGCUUAAUAUUCAUUUGGUUGCUUUAUUUCAUGCCCAAGAUGUUAAAACAUGGCUUUUCUAAAAUACUUGAUCCAGUUGUGCAGGAUAUUAAAGUACUUGAGAGGGAUGGAAUUAUGGUCCCCUUGUAUGAUCAACAAGCGUAUGGAACUAUUGUCCAUGUUACAGGUGACAACCUUGGUCUUCACUGUUUAUUUGGUUUUGUUGAAUCAUUCUGAUAUUUUUGCUGCUUUUGUCUUGCUGAGAAAGAGGACUUUCAAACUGAAUUUGAUGACGAUUCACCCAAGAUAGUUAUGCGAACUCGAGCACUUCAUGCAGAACACUGCCAAAAAAAGGAGCCAAAUCCCAGUCUUCCCUCUGUGAUGAGUGUUAAACGUUCUUGCAUUCUAAACUCCUUGCAGUACUUCAAUUCAUUUGAAAACUUCUGUCGACAUUAUGCAUGAUAUCUUGGAGGGAGUGGCCCAAUAUGAAAUGAAACUGCUAAUACUGCACUUGAUAGACAAGUACACACAUCAAAUGAAAUAGACAGGAGAAUAAAGAGCUGUAACUAUGGUUACAUUGAGCAUAACAACACACCUCAUGCAGUGAAUUUAGGAGAGGACUCUAAUGACUUGGGGGUUAAAUGCUCUCCAGUCCUGGUGUUUACUUCCCAAUCUAGCACUUCUCUUUGGAGACUUAGUUUGUCCCAAUGAUCUACACUGGUAUUUACUGUUGCUGUUGCUUCAGAUAGUAAACAUUGUAUUUUCUCCAAUGAUAUCAAAGAGUAUUACAAUUUUUUUGAAACACUUAAUCGCAGAGCACCACAGGUUAUUCAAGCAAUUGUUUCCAAAAAAGAGGCUGCUACCGAAGCAUCAUUUUAUGGUGCAUUCCCUCACAUGUAUGCUUAAAAUUGGACCAGUUUUGCAUAGCUGGUGCAUGCUCUAUGAAGCAAUGCAUCAUUUCUUUUCUUUUUUUCAACAUUUAAAAAGCUUUAAAAAUUUUACUAAAACAUUGGCAAAAAAAACACCAAAGUCAAAUAGCAUACAUUUGACACUAACAGAGUCAUGAUUGGUCCAGGUAAAAUGUUAUCUUUAAAUAUGGUGGACUGGGGCUGUAAGAUGGCUCUUCAGGUACCAAUUGACACCAUGGUUUUAAACGUUAAAUGGGCCAAACACCAUGGAAAUAUGUAUCGUUCAGGUUUAGAUGUUUGUCUAAAGUCCAUUGUGAGAUGCCAGUUUUUCAGAAAAUCCACCAUGUUGUUGUUAAAGAUGAGAAGUUACUGUUGGUUACUUUUGCCCUACAAACAAUAUGUCUUGAUGAGCAUUUUAAUGCAGAUAGAGUUGGGUGUACAACAGAGGGACCUUAUGUAGUUGAUGAUAAAGAGCUUUUCUGUCACAAAGCAUUUGAUAUACAGAUGUCUUACAGUUGUGAUGAUUCAAGUUUGUUUAUUGUCCCAUAAUAUUUCCUGUGAUUGUAAAAACUGCACAAAACCAAGAUGUAUUGUAUUGCAAUUUUGGCUUUUUUAUUUACUUUUAAUAAAAGGGGGCCAGAUGCCAAAAUGUCAUUUUACAGAGGCCACAAUUUUAUUUUAUCAUCAGUGUUUUUGAUAUGUGAGAUGCCAGUUUCACAAAAUCCCCCAUGUCAUUGUUAGAUGUAUUGAAUUGCAAUAUUAUUAUUAUUUUUUGUUAUUAUUUUAUUAUUUUAUUUUAUUUUAUUCCCUUUUCUCCCCAAUUUUCGUGGUAUCCAAUCGCUAGUAAUUACUAUCUUGUCUCAUCGCUACAACUCCCGUACGGGCUCGGGAGAGACGAAGGUCGAAAGCCAUGCGUCCUCCGAGGCACAACCCAACCAAGCCGCACUGCUUCUUUAACACAGGGCGCCUCCAACCCGGAAACCAGCCGCACCAAUGUGUCGGAGGAAACACCGUUCACCUGGCCCCCUUGGUUAGCGCGCACUGCGCCCGGCCCGCCACAGGAGUCGCUGGAGCGCGAUGAGACAAGGAAAUCCCUACCGGCCAAACCCUCCCUAACCCGGACGACGCUAGCCCAAUUGUGCGUCGCCCCACGGACCCAGAGACUCUGGUGGCGCAGUUAGCACUGCGAUGCAGUGCCCUAGACCACUGCUGCACCCGGGAGGCCUGAAUUGCAAUAUUGAGCUUUUUUAUGUACAUGUAUUAAAAUGAACAGAGGCCAACAUUUCAUUUCAGUCCACAAUUGUAUUUUAUUAUCAUCAGUAUUUUGAUGUAUGUAUUGCAAAUGUCUUACAUUUAAGA